This 372-nucleotide ribosomal RNA is filed under the name uncultured organism. RNAcentral describes it as "partial 16S ribosomal RNA". It matches the Rfam family "Bacterial small subunit ribosomal RNA", at positions 527 to 896 of the family's 1533-position model. The record is from RNAcentral.
GUAGGUGGCAAGCGUUGUCCGGAAUUAUUGGGCGUAAAGCGCGCGCAGGCGGUUCUUUAAGUCUGAUGUGAAAGCCCACGGCUCAACCGUGGAGGGUCAUUGGAAACUGGAGAACUUGAGUACAGAAGAGGAAAGCGGAAUUCCACGUGUAGCGGUGAAAUGCGUAGAGAUGUGGAGGAACACCAGUGGCGAAGGCGGCUUUCUGGUCUGUAACUGACGCUGAGGCGCGAAAGCGUGGGGAGCAAACAGGAUUAGAUACCCUGGUAGUCCACGCCGUAAACGAUGAGUGCUAAGUGUUAGGGGGUUUCCGCCCCCCUUAGUGCUGCAGCUAACGCAUUAAGCACUCCGCCUGGGAGUACGGCCGCAAGGUUG